UGGGGAAUAUUGGGCAAUGGAGGGAACUCUGACCCAGCGACGCCGCGUGCGGGAUGAAGGCCUUCGGGUUGUAAACCGCUUUCAGCAGGGAAGAAGCGAAAGUGACGGUACCUGCAGAAGAAGCACCGGCUAACUAUGUGCCAGCAGCCGCGGUAAUACAUAGGGUGCAAGCGUUGUCCGGAAUUAUUGGGCGUAAAGAGCUCGUAGGUGGUUCGUCACGUCGGAUGUGAAAAUCUGGGGCUUAACCCCAGACCUGCAUUCGAUACGGGCGAGCUAGAGUGUGGUAGGGGAGACUGGAAUUCCUGGUGUAGCGGUGGAAUGCGCAGAUAUCAGGAGGAACACCAAUGGCGAAGGCAGGUCUCUGGGCCAUUACUGACACUGAGGAGCGAAAGCGUGGGGAGCAAACAGGAUUAGAUACCCAAGUAUCCCUGAGCGGGCUGGCAAGGCGCAU
Molecule: ribosomal RNA, 451 nt
Filed under: uncultured bacterium
Lineage: Bacteria
Description: bacterial SSU rRNA
Rfam family: Bacterial small subunit ribosomal RNA
Source: RNAcentral